RNAcentral lists this ribosomal RNA (497 nucleotides) under uncultured bacterium. Its description in RNAcentral is "partial 16S ribosomal RNA". It matches the Rfam family "Bacterial small subunit ribosomal RNA", at positions 28 to 507 of the family's 1533-position model. The record is from RNAcentral.
GAUGAACGCUGGCGGCGUGCCUAAUACAUGCAAGUCGAGCGAACGGACGAGAAGCUUGCUUUUCUGAUGUUAGCGGCGGACGGGUGAGUAACACGUGGAUAACCUACCUAUAAGACUGGGAUAACUUCGGGAAACCGGAGCUAAUACCGGAUAAUAUUUUGAACCGCAUGGUUCAAAAGUGAAAGACGGUCUUGCUGUCACUUAUAGAUGGAUCCGCGCUGCAUUAGCUAGUUGGUAAGGUAACGGCUUACCAAGGCAACGAUGCAUAGCCGACCUGAGAGGGUGAUCGGACACACUGGAACUGAGACACGGUCCAGACUCCUACGGGAGGCAGCAGUAGGGAAUAUGCCGCAAUGGGCGAAAGCAUGACGGAGCAAAGCCGCGUGAGUGAUGAAGGUCUUCGGAUCGUAAAACUCUGUUAUUAGGGAAGAAAAUAUGUGUAAGUAACUGUGCACAUCUUGACGGUACCUAAUCAGAAAGCCACGGCUAACUACGUG